RNAcentral lists this ribosomal RNA (253 nucleotides) under uncultured bacterium. RNAcentral's name for it is "partial 16S ribosomal RNA". It matches the Rfam family "Bacterial small subunit ribosomal RNA", at positions 524 to 776 of the family's 1533-position model. The record is from RNAcentral.
UACGUAGGGUGCAGGCGUUAAUCGGAAUUACUGGGCGUAAAGCGUGCGCAGGCGGUUUGCUAAGACAGGUGUGAAAUCCCCGGGCUUAACCUGGGAACUGCGCUUGUAACUGGCAAGCUUGAGUGUGGCAGAGGGGGGUGGAAUUCCACGUGUAGCAGUGAAAUGCGUAGAGAUGUGGAGGAACACCGAUGGCGAAGGCAGCCCCCUGGGCUAACACUGACGCUCAUGCACGAAAGCGUGGGGAGCAAACGGG